RNAcentral lists this non-coding RNA (37 nucleotides) under Echinostoma caproni. The record is from RNAcentral. Lineage: Eukaryota; Metazoa; Platyhelminthes; Trematoda; Plagiorchiida; Echinostomatidae.
UACUGACGAGUCCCAAACAGGACGAAACAGCUGUCCA